AGGACAAUAAUACUGCUAUAUCAAUGGGUCAGUCAUUCAGUAAUGAUGAUAGCAAUAUUACUUCAAUUUGCCAAACUCUUAGUAAGGUCACUGACACCAAUCCACCCAUGAGCCACUGCUACAGCAGAGUUGAUGACAAUACAAUAUCGGUGAGUCAGACCUUUAGCAAAGUUGAAAACAAUAAUUUGUCAAUGAGCCAAUCUUUUGGUAGGGGAGAUAGCAAUAUCAUAUCUUUGGCAAUGACAAUACAAUAUCGGUGAGUCAGACCUAUAGCAAAGUUGAAAACAAUAAUUUGUCAAUGAGCCAAUCUUUUGGCAGGGGAGAAAGCAAUAUCAUAUCUUUUGGUGGAUUCAAUGAUGAUGACGAUAUAAAUUCUUCUGGAAGGCUGAUUUGCAGUUAUGACUUA
RNAcentral lists this long non-coding RNA (406 nucleotides) under Nicotiana benthamiana. Its description in RNAcentral is "long non-coding RNA (NBEN_LNC005203)". The record is from RNAcentral. Lineage: Eukaryota; Viridiplantae; Streptophyta; Magnoliopsida; Solanales; Solanaceae.